UCCCUGAUGGCUCAGCGGUAAAGAACCUGCCUGUAGUGCAGGAGACCUGGGUUUGAUCCCUGGGUUGGGAA
Molecule: non-coding RNA, 71 nt
Organism: Bos taurus (domestic cattle)
Lineage: Eukaryota; Metazoa; Chordata; Mammalia; Artiodactyla; Bovidae
Source: Rfam